CUCGUCCACCAAACACACAGCCGCACGAGAACCCGGCCAUGGCCGCCGCACGAGAGCCCGGCCAUGGCCGCCGCCCCGCGCAACCAUCCGCGCCACCACUGCCGGGAACGAGUGGCUGGUUCCUCCACUUGUUGCUCGAGGACUAUGCAGUCCAGGUAGCGCGACACCAGCACCUGCGUCAGUGGCCUCCUCGUGUGGGGCGUCCCCUCAAUGCCUCGCCUGCGGGGGUCGAGGUUGCCGUCACAUGCGCGAGGAACGCCAUGGAUGUGCACAGGACGAUGGGAUGUGCGCAAAACGUUGUGACUAUGCCAAGAUCGCCUAUUGAUCUAGCUGGUUGGACUCGGUCGGGUGAGCGGGGUGCUUGAGAUUCUCGACCGGAUCUCUGGCGCCAACGAGGAUAGGCUAGGAGCUUCAACGAGAGCAACCACCGGUGUGGAGAAGAAGGUCAUGCCCACGUGGACGCUCUCCGGCAGCCCGCCUUGCUCCUUUCAACAUGUCCUCUGAUUCAUGCCUCGGCACGGACAGGGUGCAAUCUCGGCAGGAUGCAAUACAUGCCGGAUUCGUGCUUUUUUCCGUCCUCAAAUUCAGAAUCGGUCAGCUAUAAAAUUGUUCUUGCUGAACUAAUCGAAUAUGUUAUUGUAUUUCUUCGCUACUUACCCUCGGGACCAAUUGAAUUUUAUACAGUUCUAACUUUUAUCU
Molecule: long non-coding RNA, 699 nt
Organism: Lolium perenne
Lineage: Eukaryota; Viridiplantae; Streptophyta; Magnoliopsida; Poales; Poaceae
Source: RefSeq, a predicted model, not a curated record